This 31-nucleotide non-coding RNA is filed under the name Mus musculus (house mouse). The record is from RNAcentral. Lineage: Eukaryota; Metazoa; Chordata; Mammalia; Rodentia; Muridae.
UCCUAACUGCAUCAUUGUCCUAAUUGAGAUU